ACAUUAACUUGGUGAUAGGAGUGAAAAAAUAAGGAUAUCUAUUCAUCAUGUAUACUUCUGCUUCUCAAGUCACUCCCUCAAUCGACUGAUUUCUCUAUAACACCUUUACUGAAGUAAUUUAUUUCUCAGUUUGUAGACCUAGUGAUUAAGAAUCUCAACAGAAAUCUCCUUUCAAGUAAAGCUUUCUUUCACACCCACUCUCUAAGGUCACAACCAUAGAUGGAUCCCUAAUAUACUUCUUUAACAUGGACAUGUGGAAGAUUGGAUGACCUGCAGCUAACUACUGGAAUAAACUCAAACUCUCUCCUCCUCACAUCAUCAUUGAUUUCUAGUGGUUCUGAGCUAUUUUCAACCUCUUUUUAAUUAACUAAAAUUUCUUCAUCGCCUCAUGAAUUGAAUCUGGCCUAAUCAAAUUAGCUCCACUAACUUAAAACCAACCAAUCAGAGACAUGUAUCUAUGCCCAUAUAAAGCUUGUAAAGGUGCUAUCAAUAUGCUACGUUGAUAACUAUUAUUAUGUGUACUCGAUGAUAGGUGAAUGAUAAAAAAGCGCGCACACACAAAAAAGGUGCACCACCAACGUCAUAAGUAAAUGCAUUUUCAAUGAAAAAGGAACUCUUUUACAUUUUUUCCAUUACUUUUGAACUGGACGGCAUAACCAACAUCAUAUAUCUACAUAAAAGUGCACCAUGAGUUAUGUGGGUCUGAUCAUCACCUGAAUGGCUAGGCCCCAAUCUAUGAGGCCACGUGGAUUGAGAUAUAACAUUACACAUGACUAAAUCAUCAUCCUGAUGGAUAAAGAAACAUAAGGUUGUCCAAUUUAUGGAUUGAACCUUCCCUACGUUGGAAAAACAUAAGUUUUUGGUGUCGAGCCAUAAGGACUCCUACCAUCUUGACUAACCAUCCAAUUCUCUUAAAUACAUAUUUUUUUUCAUUGAAGUUGUAGGAAGGAGUCAUUCACAUUUCAUUAUAAAUCCCCAUUUUAACCCUCCAUUUACAUAAGUGGAUCCAUAUAGACUUGAUAUUUCCAUAACAAAACUUGUAAGUCAUCAUUUUUAAAUAGUAUCAUUAUGGAGGUCAUUCAAGUAUUCAAAGAGUUCCACAAGAACAAGUACAAUUUAUAUGGUGCAUAGACAAUCAAUUUAGCAUAUUCUUUGACUUAAUAAUUAUACUACUCAAUCCCAAGAGUGAAUUUAAAGAAAACAACAGUAACCCAAUUUGAAUUCAUGGUAUGAACAUAGAAAACUUCCCUUUAUUUGGUAAAAACACAUUAAGAUUCAAUCUUAAAUUUAAUGAUCAUAAGUUGGGAAAAUAGUUUGAGAACAAGGAAUUUUUGGUAAUUAGAAACCAUAGAGUCUGAAAUAGUUUCACAUACCUUAACAAGGAGAUUUACAGAGAAAAGUUGAAACUAAGCUUUGAACAUUGCUACGUAGACUUGAAUGACUUGGAUUCUUGGGUGAAUGACAGGGUGUGUAUUGAUUUAGGUUUUAGGAAAAUAAUAUAGUAGGAAGCAUUUUGGAAUAGGUGGGGAUGGUUUUUAAUCAAUAAAAGGAGAAAAAAUCCUUGGAAAAUCCAUCAACAGAAGGAGGAUCCCGCGACUAGAACCCCCUUUCAUGGCAUGCCUACAUCGCAGAGCACGGGUGGUCAGAUGCACACCUUUUUCUGGGAUAUUAUGUGGUAAAUAGAGGUUAAAUGUUAACCAUAAUGGGUGUAUAGUUAAUUUUGAAGACUCUUAACAUAUCCAAUAAUAAAAUUUGCACACCUUUUGCCAACUUCCUAGCUCCGCUGCUAUUGCGGAGGUAGGUGGUCUGUGCCACGCCUCAAAUAUGGAGGCUCACUAAUUAGACCAUAAUGCUUUGCUCCAAACUCAGUUUUACAAACACUUAAUGGCGUUGGAAAGAAUAUUCAAAAACCGUUAAUUUGAUAGAUAAUAGGACCAGUAACUCUUUAUUUUUUUGGAGUUAUGCUCGUUUGAAGUUGAC
This 1980-nucleotide long non-coding RNA is filed under the name Capsicum annuum. RNAcentral describes it as "long non-coding RNA (CANN_LNC017460)". Lineage: Eukaryota; Viridiplantae; Streptophyta; Magnoliopsida; Solanales; Solanaceae. The record is from RNAcentral.